GAUGAACGCUGGCGGCGUGCUUAACACAUGCCAGUCGAACGGAAAGGCUCCUGCUUGCAGGGGUACUCGAGUGGCGAACGGGUGAGUAACACGUGGGUGAUCUGCCCUGCACUUCGGGAUAAGCCUGGGAAACUGGGUCUAAUACCGGAUAGGACGAUGGUUUGGAUGCCAUUGUGGAAAGUUUUUUCGGUGUGGGAUGAGCUCGCGGCCUACCAGCUUGUUGGUGGGGUAAUGGCCUACCAAGGCGUCGACGGGUAGCCGGCCUGAGAGGGUGUACGGCCACAUUGGGACUGAGAUACGGCCCAGACUCCUACGGGAGGCAGCAGUGGGGAAUAUUGCACAAUGGGCGCAAGCCUGAUGCAGCGACGCCGCGUGGGGGAUGACGGCCUUCGGGUUGUAAACUCCUUUCGCUAGGGACGAAGCGCAAGUGACGGUACCUGGAGAAGAAGCACCGGCUAACUACGUG
RNAcentral lists this ribosomal RNA (466 nucleotides) under uncultured bacterium. Its description in RNAcentral is "partial 16S ribosomal RNA". It matches the Rfam family "Bacterial small subunit ribosomal RNA", at positions 28 to 507 of the family's 1533-position model. The record is from RNAcentral.